AGCUAGCGAUCACCGAUGAAUUACAAGCUCUGAGGGGAACGUCAAUGGUGUUUCCAGCAAUAAGCUUACUAUCAUUGGGAAUAUUAUUGAGCUUAAACAGCACAUCGCUCUUAGUUCCAAACUGCUUUGCAAUGCCUUCCAUGGUGCUCAUUGAUUCCACCACAUGUGCAUAAUGGACAACCCUCUGCUCUUCCACAUCAUCGCAACUACAGGGCAAUGGAAUCGUCAGCUUUUCUCCGACUUGAAUCAAAUCGGGAUCUGGAAUGUUAUUAACUUCUGCGAUUUGUGGGUGUGUGACCAAACCAGCGAACACGGUGUUUGCGAUAUAGUACAGCCCAUCGUCUUUUUGAACAGUGUACUUAGGAACAUGGUUUGAGAUACCAGACCCAUUAGAGCAAAUGCAAGGGAUUGGGAUUUUGACCACUUGUUCUACAUUUAUAGUGUAGUUUGAUAAGGUAGAAGGAGGAAGGUUGUUUGCACCUAGAAAAGAGUUCAGGUCAUGGACUUUAAAGAAAUUUUGGAGGUGGAGGAUGGUGGUUUUGUUGGGGGAUUUGUAGCCAACUAGAGAAGUGCAAGUGGUUCGAGUUUGAGUGCAUUUAAAUCCAACUUGGGCAUUUGAUAAUUUGGUGGCAAAAGCAUAAAAGAAGAGUAGAGAGACAAAUAUGUCAUGAGAAAAACCCAUAUUUCUUGUUUUUCUGGGUUUGGGACUUUAGGUUC
RNAcentral lists this unclassified non-coding RNA (717 nucleotides) under Hevea brasiliensis (rubber tree). Lineage: Eukaryota; Viridiplantae; Streptophyta; Magnoliopsida; Malpighiales; Euphorbiaceae. The record is from RNAcentral.